This 338-nucleotide long non-coding RNA is filed under the name Vigna radiata. Its description in RNAcentral is "long non-coding RNA (VRAD_LNC000020)". Lineage: Eukaryota; Viridiplantae; Streptophyta; Magnoliopsida; Fabales; Fabaceae. The record is from RNAcentral.
AUUAUUUCAUGCUACUUUUAAUGAUAUAAAUCAACUAUUUCAAAAAUCUAAUUAAUAAUAAAUUCUAUACAAAAUUUAAGAUUUUUUUUCAUAAUAUAAUAUUUGAUAGACCUACUUAAUUAUAUUAUAUUUUUUAUUUUUUAUUAUUUUUGUAUGGUAUUUAUUUAUUUUUUUUUAUCAAACUAGUGUUUUACUUUUUUUAAGAAAAUUGUUAUUUUAUGUUUUCAAGAUUAUUUUUGUAGAAAAUCUUUUUCAAAAAUGUUCGAACUUCUUUUUUUUCACUUUAUGCUUAUCUGAUUAAAAAAUAAAGUUGUAGGAUUGAUCUCGCGGUGAGCUCU